GACUGGAUUUGACAGCGGGCAGAGGAAGUAUGUAAGCAUGCAGUGAGUCGUGAGUUCUCACUAUAAUCUGAGCUUUCAAGAACUUAAAUGGCGAAAAUAACAAUUACGCUCUCGCUGCCUGAUCGAAGUACAGUAAAUCAGCUUUAUCCGAAAACAAAGUUUUUCGGACGAGACAUCACUCCGAAGCCGUUGUUCCGAGGCUCGCGGAAAUAGUGGUGCACGCAAAUCGGGAAUAGCGUGAAAAGUGUUGCGUAGUUCAUGCGAAAUUUCUAAUCCGCAACUAAGGUUUGCAACAAUGUGAAUGCGUGCCGCACGUUGCAGACACAAAAAUUCCCGGCAGGCUAAGCAUGUAGAAAGCAUGGUUUUUCCCCGUUUGGACGAGAGUUCGAUUCUCUCCUGGUCCACU
This 406-nucleotide transfer-messenger RNA is filed under the name human gut metagenome. It matches the Rfam family "transfer-messenger RNA". Rfam says of the family: Bacterial tmRNA, also known as 10Sa RNA or SsrA, is named for its dual tRNA and mRNA-like properties. Its role is to liberate the mRNA from a stalled ribosome. To accomplish this part of the tmRNA is used as a reading frame that ends in a translation stop signal. The record is from RNAcentral. RNAcentral also lists the same sequence under 2 other names.